This 496-nucleotide ribosomal RNA is filed under the name uncultured bacterium. RNAcentral describes it as "bacterial SSU rRNA". It matches the Rfam family "Bacterial small subunit ribosomal RNA", at positions 30 to 517 of the family's 1533-position model. The record is from RNAcentral.
AUUGAACGCUGGCGGCAGGCCUAACACAUGCAAGUCGAGCGGUAGAGAGGUGCUUGCAUCUCUUGAGAGCGGCGGACGGGUGAGUAAUGCCUAGGAAUCUGCCUAGUGGUGGGGGAUAACGUUCGGAAACGGACGCUAAUACCGCAUACGUCCUACGGGAGAAAGCGGGGGAUCUUCGGACCUCGCGCCAUUAGAUGAGCCUAGGUCGGAUUAGCUAGUUGGUGAGGUAAUGGCUCACCAAGGCGACGAUCCGUAACUGGUCUGAGAGGAUGAUCAGUCACACUGGAACUGAGACACGGUCCAGACUCCUACGGGAGGCAGCAGUGGGGAAUAUUGGACAAUGGGCGAAAGACCUGAUCCAGCCAUGCCGCGUGUGUGAAGAAGGUCUUCGGAUUGUAAAGCACUUUAAGUUGGGAGGAAGGGUAGUAACCUAAUACGUUGCUACUUUGACGUUACCGACAGAAUAAGACACCGGCUAACUUCGUGCCAGCAGCCG